Molecule: long non-coding RNA, 814 nt
Organism: Gasterosteus aculeatus aculeatus (three-spined stickleback)
Lineage: Eukaryota; Metazoa; Chordata; Actinopteri; Perciformes; Gasterosteidae
Source: Ensembl
CGUGCUUCAAACAGAGUGGUUUAUUUUCUGACAGAGAUCCCUCUCAGGAGAUUGAGCUGGAAAACAGAUUAAUAGAGGCUGUCCAAGUUGCUCUCUGAUAUUGCACAACAUGUGCCUCAGCAGCAUGUGAAUACAAUCUGCUGUGCAUUAGCCCAUUCGGUGCUUUGACGUGGCUCUGCGUGUGUGUGUAUUAUAGCUCACAAUAUACAGUGUACAUACCCCCACCAAGCUGUCAAAAACAGGCAGCAGUUCAUCUGUUUUGUAGAAAUGGUCCAUAUCUUUCUUGUUGGGCUCUGCCGAUGAGAGCGAGUCUGUGACCUGUAGCACAAGGGCCUCCCCUUGUGUUCUGUUGCAAAACUACAAAUCUACUGAUUUGUUAAGUACAAAUUAAAUCAACAAAACACAGCUGUGACUGGGGGAUCCCAAGGCGUUCCAGGGCCAGUGUGGACAUGCUUGUACUCAUGAUCGGUCAUCACCCAUCCCUCAGGACGAGAGGUAAGACUGGCCGGCAACUGUGGGCGAGUGGAAGACGCGGUCGCACCACAAUCAGAGGAUUGGCCGUUUGAUCCCUGGCCCGGCUUUUUCGCCGCCCACGCUGCUCGGACUCUCGGGCCAAACUCGCACUCCCUGAGGUACUUGAACUCCUUCACUUUGGCUGAGGACGUCAACGAUGCCAAACUCCACAAGAUACCAGAACUUAGGACUGAAUCUUCAUGGCUGAUAUACAAAACAAAGGUUUUCCUAAAGCAUCGGGGCAAAGUAUUUUUUUUAAAAAGCACGCUCAUCCCAGUCGUCGUUGGCCCCCCGGGGGCCC